RNA transcript from Tachysurus fulvidraco (yellow catfish), 4784 nucleotides. It is a transcript of the gene named protein phosphatase 1, regulatory subunit 12A, with no coding region annotated. NCBI's taxonomy places the organism in Eukaryota, Metazoa, Chordata, Actinopteri, Siluriformes, Bagridae. The transcript has 26 exons. The record is from RefSeq and is a predicted model, not a curated record.
UGUGUGUGUUGUGUGUGUUCUCUCCAGGCGUGUAUAGAUGAUAACAUGGACAUGGUGACGUUCCUAGUGGAACACGGUGCCUGCAUCAAUCAGCCUGAUAAUGAGGGCUGGAUCCCCCUGCAUGCUGCCGCUUCCUGUGGAUACUUGGACAUCGCAGAGUAUCUGAUCAAUGAGGGUGCGAAUGUGGGCGUGGUUAAUAGUGAGGGAGAGACGCCGCUGGACAUCGCAGAGGAAGAACCAAUGGAGGAGCUGCUGAAAAAUGAAAUCAACAGACAAGGUGUGGAUAUAGAGGCAGCGAGGAAGGAGGAGGAACGUGUCAUGCUACGUGACGCUCGUCAGUGGCUAAACAGCGGGCAAAUCAACGACGUCCGACACACCAAGUCAGGAGGAACCGCGCUGCACGUCGCCGCUGCUAAAGGCUACGCAGAGGUUUUAAAGCUUUUAAUCCAGGCAGGUUAUGAUGUAAAUAUUAAAGAUUAUGACGGCUGGACUCCUCUUCAUGCUGCUGCUCACUGGGGGAAGGAUGAAGCCUGCAGGAUCCUGGUGGAGAACCUGUGUGACAUGGACCUCCUUAAUAAAGUGGGACAGACGGCCUUCGAUGUGGCAGAUGAAGAUGUUCUGGGAUAUUUAGAGGAGUUACAAAAGAAACAGAACCUGCUGAGUGAGAAGAAAGACGCUAAGAAAUCUCCCUUGAUAGAGACCACCACUACAGCAGAUAAUAACCAGUCCACUAAACCUGCUGUGAAGAGUAAAGAGACACUGUUACUAGAGGUGGAGAAGAACGCUCCUCACAUCGAGAACUUGGAGUCAGAGAAAACUGAUGAGGAACUGGAGGGGAAGAAGGACGAGUCCAGCUGCUCCAGUGAAGACGAGGACGAAGACGACUCUGAGUCUGAGAAUGAAGCAGAUAAGACCAAGUCAGCUGCUCCAGUCAGCAACUCCACCAGUUCUGUCCCCGCCCCAGUCUCCACCUCCAGCAACACUCCAACCACGCCCACCUCACCUGUCAAAAAGGUGAGUGUACCUACAGGUAAAGUGUCUCCUAAAGAGGACGAGAGGAAGGAUGAGUCGCCGGCCUCGUGGAGACUGGGCUUGAGGAAGACAGGAAGUUACGGUGCACUGGCAGAGAUCAGUGCAACAAAAGAGGCUCAGAAGGAGAAGGACCUGAGUGGGGUGAUGCGCUCAGCGUCCUCACCACGACUCACCUCCUCACUGGAUAACAAGGACAAGGAGAAGGAAAAGGAGAAGUCUCUGGCGUACGUGGCUCCCACUUUCCCAAGAAGACACCCGAGUGCAUCAGAUAUAGAUGAGAAGGAAAACAGGGACUCAGCAGCUAGUCUGGUGCGAAGUGGUUCUUACACACGGAGACGCUGGGAAGAAGAUCUGAAGAACAACGACACAACCUCCUUAAACCGAACAUCCAGCUACCAACGCAGCACGUCACACACUUUAACACUUGGCCGAAGCAGCAGCUCUCGCGAUCUUCCUGCAAAAUCAUCUUCGGCUUCCAGUCUGGAUCCUAACAGCACUAAAGCUUCAUCGUCCUACUACCAGUCUUACAGCAUACACCGAAGCGGAUCGUUUGGAAGGAGGCAAGAUGAUGCUGUGAGCUCCACUUCCUCUGCUGUUACUACGACGACAAGCUCCACCUCCACUACCACAAUUACCUCACCUACAGGACACCGCAGUGUGCCCAGGUAUUGGUCCGAGGAUGGGGCGGAGAAAGAGAAGGAAUCGGCGACCGUAAUUCCCACCAUUAACACUGCAGCCACCACAACUACCACCACCACCACCACACACACUACUGCAGGAGAUGGCAGAGAGAGACGCAGAUCAUACCUCACUCCUGUGCGUGAUGAGGAGUCCGAGUCUCAGAGGAGAGCUCGAUCUCGACAGGCCAGGCAGUCCAGAAGGUCCACACAGGGAGUGACCUUAACUGACCUCCAGGAGGCGGAGAAGACCAUCGGUCGCAAUCGUCCGCCGCGGUCUCGAGAGGAGGAGAAGGAAAAAGAAGAGAAGGAGAAACAGGACAAGGAGAAGCAGGAGGAGAAGAAGGAGACCGAGCCAAAAGAGGAUGACUAUCGUUCACGCUAUCGCUUUGAGGAGCGAUACCGCACCCCUUCCUUGAGCUCGUCCUCUUCCACUACUGUGCCGUCGUCCUCCGUUACUUCAUCGCUCUACACGUCCUCUUCCUCGCUGAACCGCCCUGACAGUCUGAGUGGAAUCAUACCCAGUUACAGAAGCUCCGCCCGCGACACCGAGAAAGAUAAGAGAGAAGAAGAAAAGGAGGUAGAGGAUAAAAGUCAGCCUCGCUCUAUACGUGAUCGCAGACGUCCUCGAGAGAAACGGCGCUCUACUGGAGUCCCAUUCUGGACACAAGAUAGCGAUGAGAAUGACCCAGAACAGCACUCGGACUCAGAGGAAGGGAGCACUAAAGCAGAAACACAGAGUGAAAGACUCUCGAGAAACGACGGCUCGUCGUCUGGUUCGUCCCUCGCUGAUCAUCACGAGCACAGAGAGAGCCGCCGGUCGUACUCACGACUCGACCGAGAGGACAGCACUGACUACAAGAAGCUUUAUGAACAGAUCCAAGCUGAAAAUGAGAAGCUUAAAUCUCAGUUACGCGACACACAUCUGGAGCUGGAUGAUCUAAAGCGGCAGCUGGAGAGGGCCACACAGGUGAGGGGAUUACAGAGACAGGAGCGCUUUGCUGAUAGAUCACAGCUGGAGAUGGAGAAAAGGGAACGACGAGCUCUAGAAAGAAAGAUCUCUGAGAUGGAGGAGGAACUUAAGAACCUCCCGGAGAUAAAGCAGGUUCAGGCUCUGAGGCAGUAUAAUGAGCGAUUGCAGGCGGAGAACAGAGCUUUGGCCCGAGUUCUCUGCAAACUGCCCGCUGCUGAUCUCUAAGCCCCGCCCAGUUCAUUUACAUGUCACAUAUUGGCUCCACCCUCUCCUGUAGACAGAUGCUUCCUGACUUGAAGGCAGACAACCAGAGGUUAAAGGACGAGAAUGGUGCUCUGAUCCGAGUCAUUAGUAAACUGUCUAAGUAGAGCAGCACCCCCUGUGGUCAGUGUGGGGUAUUGACACGCUGAGACCGCAAAACACAUCCAUCCUCCUUCAUCUGUCCAUCACUCGCUCACUCUGCUCCUCCCCUAACGGCUCACUUCCUUCCUCCAGCCGUGUUUGGUCUGGCUGCUGCAUCGCACACACACACACACGCACACGCACACACACACACACACACACACACACGGUCAGUUUACAAGGCAGAAAGAUGGCUGUAACCCACAUGCUUUCGUUUGUGCAGAAAAAGAGGAAAUAAAGAAAAAAACAGUUUAUUUGGUGCCACAAACUUUCCUUUAUUUUCCUCUUUCAUGUGUAGUGAUUUUAUCUCUCUGCCUCUCUCCCUUUCUCUCUUACUCUGCCUCUCUCCCUCUCUCUCUUACUCUGCCUCCCUCUUUCUCUCUCUAACUCUGUCUCUCUCUCACUCUGAUCCUCCCUUUCAUGUCUAAGCCCCGCCCCCUUUCCUGUCCCUCUGUGGUACUGUUUCUCAGCAGUGGAUUUCCCAGCAUUCUACAGUGUUGGAGCACGAAACCUGAACCCCCGCCAACAGCCCCCUGUCCUCCCCCUCUCUCACACACACACACACACACACACACACACACACACACACACACACACACACACUCUGGUGGAAUGUUGAGCUUUUACUGAAUGUGCAAUACACAUGUGUUCCUUUAGAAACAGCGCUUUAACCUGCAGUAAGAAGAAAAACUUCUCUUGUUUUUUUUUUUUUUCUCCUUCCUUUCAUCCUCCUUUUCUUCCGUGUCACACUUCCUUUUCCUCAUCCAGGCUUUAUUUCUUCGUACUUCCUUUUUCCUUUACCCCCAGUAGUGUGUGUAGUGUUGAGGCGGCGGUGUUAGUUUAAUCGUCACGGUGUUAUUAGCAGGUACUGAGUGCAGCUGUAUAUAAACCCGAGCACACGGCAUGCGUUCAUGCUUUUCUCCUUCUGUUACUGUUCCCAUAUUCGCGGCUCCGCCGGACAAAAGUGUGUUUUAAAUAUUUUGUCUUUUUUUUUUUUGCUUAUUUUUAUAGUGCUGUUGAAUAACGAUAGUGUCGCUGCCCCUCACGUACCGUAGGCUGCGGUAUCGGGGGAGGGGCUCCAGUGCAUCCUUCGGUUUUAAAGAGAAAUAAAUAUUCACCGUUAUUGUGAUAUAAGAAUAAUAUAAUAAGACUUCACUACUUUUCACACGCGUUGAGUGCAUUUCUUCUUCAUCCUCAUCAUCUUUUAUUUGAUGUUCCUCCUCUUCCUCCUCCUCCUCCUCCUCAGUGCUGUUAGUAUUAGCCGAGGUCUCGUCACUAAAAGCUAAAGCCUAGAUAUCGCUAACCCACUCCUUUCUUCCUUUUUCUUUCUUUCUUCUCCUUCUUUUUUAUUUGAGUAAGUAACCCAUCAUCUAUCUGCACUGUCCACGCCACGGCCCGGGGUCCGGGGUCCGAUCCUGGGGGCCGUACUUUAGCGAGAGUCCGAGCGAAUCAGAGAUUUUAUGCAUUUCAGUGGCCUUUUACGAUGCGAAUGCUGUGGUUUAAAGAGCAGAGAGAGAGAAACGCCUGUGGACUCUCUAUCCUGUGGGUUAGCUUUUAACUUUCUUCUUGGUUUUUAUGCUGAUUUUUCCUCCUUUUUUUUUUUAAACACCAUCAUUGUAAAAUAGAUGUGUGGCUUCUCCAUGCGAGCUGUGCUGUGACUACAACCACUGAGAGUUCAAAUAAAGUUGUACAUUGUAAAA